GUGGGGAAUAUUGGACAAUGGGCGAAAGCCUGAUCCAGCCAUGCCGCGUGUGUGAAGAAGGUCUUCGGAUUGUAAAGCACUUUAAGUUGGGAGGAAGGGCAGUAAGUUAAUACCUUGCUGUUUUGACGUUACCGACAGAAUAAGCACCGGCUAACUUCGUGCCAGCAGCCGCGGUAAUACGAAGGGUGCAAGCGUUAAUCGGAAUUACUGGGCGUAAAGCGCGCGUAGGUGGUUUUGUAAGUUGGAGGUGAAAUCCCCGUGCUAAACCUGGGAACUGCCUCCAAAACUGCAGGACUAGAGUACGGUAGAGGGUAGUGGAAUUUCCUGUGUAGCGGUGAAAUGCGUAGAUAUAGGAAGGAACACCAGUGGCGAAGGCGACUACCUGGACUGAUACUGACACUGAGGUGCGAAAGCGUGGGGAGCAAACAGGAUUAGAAACCCUAGUAGUCC
This 450-nucleotide ribosomal RNA is filed under the name uncultured bacterium. Its description in RNAcentral is "bacterial SSU rRNA". It matches the Rfam family "Bacterial small subunit ribosomal RNA", at positions 354 to 796 of the family's 1533-position model. The record is from RNAcentral.